AGUGAACGUUGGCGGCGUGGAUUAGGCAUGCAAGUCGAGCGAGAACCGUAGCAAUACGGGGACAGCGGCGAAAGGGACAGUAAUGUGUAGGUACCUACCCCGAGGUCUGGGAUAGCUGCUGGAAACUGCAGGUAAUACCGGAUAAUGUCUUCGGACCAAAGGUGUGAUGCCACCUUGGGAGGGGCCUGCAUCCUAUUAGCUUGUUGGCGGGGUAACGGCCCACCAAGGCGACGAUGGGUAGCGGGUGUGAGAGCACGACCCCCGUCAUUGGGACUGAGACACUGCCCAGACACCUACGGGUGGCUGCAGUCGAGGAUCUUCGGCGAUGGGCGCAAGCCUGACCGAGCGACGCCGCGUGCGGGAUGAAGGCCUUCGGGUUGUAAACCGCUGUCGUAGAGGAGGAAAUGCAGGGGGGUUCUCCCUUCUGUUUGACCUAUUCUAGGAGGAAGGACGGGCUAAGUUCGUGCCAGCCGCCGCUGUAA
RNAcentral lists this ribosomal RNA (482 nucleotides) under uncultured bacterium. Its description in RNAcentral is "partial 16S ribosomal RNA". It matches the Rfam family "Bacterial small subunit ribosomal RNA", at positions 28 to 523 of the family's 1533-position model. The record is from RNAcentral.